This is a long non-coding RNA of Suricata suricatta (meerkat), 729 nucleotides long. RefSeq lists it as uncharacterized. Lineage: Eukaryota; Metazoa; Chordata; Mammalia; Carnivora; Herpestidae. The record is from RefSeq and is a predicted model, not a curated record. The transcript is spliced from 3 exons.
CCUUCCGUAGGGCCGAGGGGUCGUCGCCAGCUCACCGACAGCAGAGCCGGGCGGACCGCGCCCAGGGCUGACUCACGACGAGCUCACUGCUGACCUCGCUCCGGCUGAGCUACAUGACCUGGAGCCAACUCCGCUACUUCAGAAAACGGAGGUUAGAAUGCCACCCCCGCGGGGGUCGUCGGCUAAGAAGUCGUCACUUCUUCACUUGUAUAAAGUGAAGAGAGUCCUAUUAAAUAAACUACUAAAUAUCAUCUGAGCCUGUUCCUGUAUAACACAGAGACUGAAGAAAAGAAAUUUGCGCCAAAUUCCAUAUUCAUGUCCUCUUCAUGGCAGAAAAUUGGUCAAAAGUGCCACAAUAGAAUGAAACUGAAAAGGAGUGGCAUCACCUACUAAAUGUUUAAGAUUAACAUCCCAAGCAUCCAGAAGAUCAGAGACAGAGACCAGAGGUGGCCCCACCUGGAGUGUGGGGCUUUGGAGACAGAAAGGGCUUGAAAGGGAUGGAUUCAUUAUCCUUUAAACUUUCUAGAUGAUGGUCUCAAAACGCGGAAUGAAUUGUCAUCUACUUACUUAAAUUUGCAGGCUAAGCAGACCUAGUUCUUAGACUUUAACCAAUUUUGGAUUACUGCUAUCAGUGACCCUAGGCUCCCAUUUGCUUUCUGAGAAGUUCUCUAAAAAAUAAACAGGUUGUUCAUUCAAAAGUGUACCAAAUCUUUUUUAAAGUAUUUUAUG